GGCGUGCUUAACACAUGCAAGUCGAACGGGAAAUAUUUCAUUGAGACUUCGGUGGAUUUGAUCUAUUUCUAGGGGCGGACGGGUGAGUAACGCGUGGGUAACCUGCCUUAUACAGGGGGAUAACAGUCAGAAAUGGCUGCUAAUACCGCAUAAGCGCACAGAGCUGCAUGGCUCAGUGUGAAAAACUCCGGUGGUAUAAGAUGGACCCGCGUUGGAUUAGCUGGUUGGUGGGGUAACGGCCCACCAAGGCGACGAUCCAUAGCCGGCCUGAGAGGGUGAACGGCCACAUUGGGACUGAGACACGGCCCAGACUCCUACGGGAGGCAGCAGUGGGGAAUAUUGCACAAUGGGGGAAACCCUGAUGCAGCGACGCCGCGUGAAGGAAGAAGUAUCUCGGUAUGUAAACUUCUAUCAGCAGGGAAGAUAGUGACGGUACCUGACUAAGAAGCCCCGGCUAACUACGUGCCAGCAGCCGCGGUAAUACGUAGGGGGCAAGCGUUAUCCGGAUUUACUGGGUGUAAAGGGAGCGUAGACGGUGUGGCAAGUCUGAUGUGAAAGGCAUGGGCUCAACCUGUGGACUGCAUUGGAAACUGUCAUACUUGAGUGCCGGAGGGGUAAGCGGAAUUCCUAGUGUAGCGGUGAAAUGCGUAGAUAUUAGGAGGAACACCAGUGGCGAAGGCGGCUUACUGGACGGUAACUGACGUUGAGGCUCGAAAGCGUGGGGAGCAAAC
RNAcentral lists this ribosomal RNA (731 nucleotides) under uncultured bacterium. RNAcentral's name for it is "bacterial SSU rRNA". It matches the Rfam family "Bacterial small subunit ribosomal RNA", at positions 41 to 773 of the family's 1533-position model. The record is from RNAcentral.